GUUGAACAGUUGUUCAUGUUCGAGUAAUGUAUAAGUGAACUUAUUCAUACCAUAACAGCUGUUGUACCUUGAGCUGGCCGGACUUGAAAAAUUUGUCUUCCAUUUUUUUUUCACAUACGACAGUUCGACAGUUUGUUUUCCAAGCGCGGUGGCUGUUCGGAGUGCUGGUGCAACCGAAAUUAGAUUUCCCGCUUGCUUGCCGCGUCUGAUCUUUCGAUCCAGCUAAAGACCAACCCAACCACAAGCUGCAGUGAUCACCACAGAAGAUUCCGCGAAUAAAACGAUCGAAGAACAAAUGAUUCCUACUCAAAAUAUACGCAAGAAUGUAAUUGCAUGUUUUGCCAAGAAAAGUGAUCAUAAGGACGAAUUGAGCACCUCAUUUAAACAUGAUGAUCACCAAAGAUAUACCAGUGACAGAGAAGAACUUCUGAACAAACACUCGCCGGAUGUUAUUAUUUCGACAAUCAUCAACGGACAACUACCAAAUCGAUUCUAUUAUAUUCGAUUUGUCUGCGGAAUGCGUUUCUAGACUAGGCUGGCUGUAUUAGGAUUGCUGUCUUCGUUGGCAGCGAGGUUGGUGCGACGAUUGAGGGGAUCAGAAAACAGAAUCCAUUUGUAAUUCUGUUUGACUCUUGAGAAAAUCGGCUACGCGCGAUCUGUCGAGGUCAUACGAGGAUCGUGGCUGCUGCAGCAGCCUUGUUAAGUGCACUCAUUUGGAUGUGUUGCAGUACAAGGAGGAGUACGUAGCAGAACCCAACCUUUCCUGAUGUUUUGUGCGCUCUUCACAUUUUGGAGCAUUGAAAAAUAUGUUUUAAUCAAACAGUGACCAAGUUUUGAUGGAUCUUUUUAUAUCAGUUGUGUUUAUCCGACCGGGUGCUGCCCUAAUUCCAUGCCAUCUGUCUGAAAUUCUUUACCGGAUAUCAACCUCUAACGAUUCGAUCGACUUACUGAAUGGUAAAGCAAAGCGUCUGACUCCGCUGCAAACAAAGUAUACAAAAUGCUCCAAAAGGUUCACUGUCGUUCGACGAUCAUCCUCAUGGAAUGUGUAAAGUACGACGGAACGGCACUGUUUACCCGCUUUAGUGGCAGUUUGAAAAAGGCUGAAGGGAGCAUCGGCCACAAAACCGGACAAAAUGCAUGACAAGAAGUACCUAACUUAGUUGUAAUUCAAG
Long non-coding RNA from Armigeres subalbatus, 1172 nucleotides. RefSeq lists it as uncharacterized. The record is from RefSeq and is a predicted model, not a curated record. NCBI's taxonomy places the organism in Eukaryota, Metazoa, Arthropoda, Insecta, Diptera, Culicidae. The transcript has 3 exons.